This 301-nucleotide ribosomal RNA is filed under the name uncultured bacterium. RNAcentral's name for it is "partial 16S ribosomal RNA". It matches the Rfam family "Bacterial small subunit ribosomal RNA", at positions 509 to 807 of the family's 1533-position model. The record is from RNAcentral.
CAGUAGCCACGGUAAUACGUAGGGUGCAAGCGUUAAUCGGAAUUACUGGGCGUAAAGCGUGCGUAGGCGGCUUUUUAAGUCGGAUGUGAAAUCCCUGAGCUUAACUUAGGAAUUGCAUUCGAUACUGGGAAGCUAGAGUAUGGGAGAGGAUGGUAGAAUUCCAGGUGUAGCGGUGAAAUGCGUAGAGAUCUGGAGGAAUACCGAUGGCGAAGGCAGCCAUCUGGCCUAAUACUGACGCUGAGGUACGAAAGCAUGGGGAGCAAACAGGAUUAGAGACCCCGGUAGUCCCUGUCUCUUAUAC